AAAUCUGGCGUCCUCAGGGCGUCCGAGUUGUAAUCUAUAGAGGCGUUUUCCGUGCCGGACCGUGUCCAAGUUCCUUGGAACAGGAUAUCAAAGAGGGUGACAAUCCCGUACUUGACACGACGACCGGUGCUCUGUGAUACGUCUUCUACGAGUCGAGUUGUUUGGGAAUGCAGCUCAAAAUGGGUGGUGAGUUCCAUCUAAAGCUAAAUAUUGGCGAGAGACCGAUAGCGAACAAGUACCGUGAGGGAAAGAUGAAAAGCACUUUGGAAAGAGAGUUAAACAGUACGUGAAAUUGUUGAAAGGGAAACGAUUGAAGUCAGUCGUGACCGAGAGGCUCAGCCGGUUCUGCCGGUGUAUUCCCCUCGGUCGGGUCAACAUCAGUUUUGUCCGGUGGAUAAGGGCGGUAGGAAGGUGGCACCCUCGGGUGUGUUAUAGCCUGCCGUCGCAUACAUCGGGUGAGACUGAGGAACGCAGCUCGCCUUUAUGGCCGGGGUUCGCCCACGUCCGAGCUUAGGAUGUUGACAUAAUGGCUUUAAACGACCCGUCUUGAAACACG
Molecule: ribosomal RNA, 556 nt
Filed under: Papiliotrema laurentii
Lineage: Eukaryota; Fungi; Basidiomycota; Tremellomycetes; Tremellales; Rhynchogastremaceae
Description: partial large subunit ribosomal RNA
Rfam family: Eukaryotic large subunit ribosomal RNA
Source: RNAcentral